AUAAAUUUGACUACACAACCUUUUCGAUAACCACCCUUAAUGUUGUAUUUUUGAAAUGAAUACUAGCAUUUGGAGAAUAAACAAGUGGUUUAGAUUCACAGUAUUGUAUAUUUGGAGUAGUGGUAGUUUUUUUUUUUUUUUGGUUUACUGUGGAAAUCUUAAAGGUGGGUUUGAACAUUGAUCACACAGAUAUUAUUGUGGAAAACCAACUAGAAAUGGCUUUACUGAUGAAGUGAGUCAGCCCUUUAGCCGUGCAUUGAUUUCUACUA
Molecule: long non-coding RNA, 269 nt
Organism: Ipomoea nil (Japanese morning glory)
Lineage: Eukaryota; Viridiplantae; Streptophyta; Magnoliopsida; Solanales; Convolvulaceae
Exons: 3
Source: RefSeq, a predicted model, not a curated record